GACCAACGAGGCAGUCCACAUAGCACAUCUUUAGUGGAAAAGCACCUUACGUGUGUUGAUAUCUUAGUUGUAAAAUAAAAAUGAGAACUUCAGUUUAUUACUCGAAUUAUUCCACAUUAGGUAUGAUAUUUAUUGGCAAUUUCUUUUUCAAUUUACAGACAGUGGUUAGUAUAUAUUUAUAUUAUAUUUUACUAGCUUCUACCAGCGGCUUCGCUGGGAUAAAAAGGUUGCUUUACGUUCAACGAAAAUAAAACGAGACCGCGUUCGGCGCUCUGAUUGGUCGGCGCGAAUGAACCAACCUAUCAGACCGCCGAACGUGGUCUCGUUUCGAUCUUAUAAACGUAAAACGAACUCAUAAUAAACACUCUGGAUAUCAAACGGAAGAGUUUGAUUGGUGGAACAAAGGUCAUUAAAGGUACGCGUCCACAGGUCCGCAUCGUACGCAUCGCACGCAACGAAUUUUAGUUUGUCUUGUAUAGAAACUCACACAACUGCGUCCACUGAUCCGCAUCGUACGGACCGCAUCAUCGGCAAUGCCUACAUGCGAUGCGUACUGAUGACGUAAAAUCUUUAAACAUAAAUUAAAAUAUGUAUUAAUUGUUUCAGAUGAAUACUUUGAAUUUAGAGAUCCUGGUGACCCACUAGCCCCAGAGGGGCAGCAGACCCCAAAAGAUGUGCCGGGGCAGUAUUUGAAGCCAAAACCGGGAUCGACGCCGCUGCACUAUGUCGACGAUGAAUGAUUCAAUAAAUGUUAUCAUUAUUUAA
Molecule: long non-coding RNA, 765 nt
Organism: Spodoptera frugiperda (fall armyworm)
Lineage: Eukaryota; Metazoa; Arthropoda; Insecta; Lepidoptera; Noctuidae
Exons: 2
Source: RefSeq, a predicted model, not a curated record